This 458-nucleotide long non-coding RNA is filed under the name Capsicum annuum. RNAcentral describes it as "long non-coding RNA (CANN_LNC014670)". Lineage: Eukaryota; Viridiplantae; Streptophyta; Magnoliopsida; Solanales; Solanaceae. The record is from RNAcentral.
AAAAAUCAGUACCCACCAACUAAAUAUAUUUGUAAUAUAUACAAACAUGCAUACAUUACAAAAUACAAUUGUGUUAAAAUACAUAUACAAUACCGCUUCUUCUUUAUCUUCUUCUGAAUCAUCUUGACUUAAAAUUUUGUUCUUUGCUCUAAUUUCUUUUGCUUUAUUUUUUUCUCUAAUUUCUAAAUUUUUUUGGAGUUUUGGAGAAGAAAUAUUUUCAAUCUCUUUUCUUUCAUAAUUUCGUCCAUCUUUUCUAGAUUGUUACGAUGUUUCGACCUCAUCUCUUCAACGGUCACUAAUUUCUUCGACUAUGUAGGCGUAGAAAACAGCUAAACUUGAAAUUUAAAAAAUAAAUUAAAAGGAGAACAGAGCAACGGCAAUGGAGAAUUCUCUCCAUUAACUCCAUCCAACAACACCAACGAGUUUCAACUCAAACCAGUCUCCUUAGUCAAAUAACC